GGCAGGAUUUAGGAAUCUAUUUGAAAUAUUCAUUACCUAUUUUGAAUUGGUCUUAAAAAUUUAAAGGAAUGUAAAGCUGGAUAAUUAAAAAUUAAAAAAAGGAAGAAUACAAGGUUUCUAUGCUAUGAAGCAACUGAGAUUAUUAUGAUUUUGGGGCAGUGAAUUUGUUUCUAGAAGUUUUGUUGGAACUAAGGCAAAAAGUUACUCCACUUAACCACUAUGAAUGAUAGUCUUGUCUCACCAACCCCAGCCCAUCGUCUGUUGGACUUGGAGGUCACACUUUAAAAAAGAAGAUCAUUCUAACUGCCCCUCAUGACUACUGAAGAGGUUAUGCCUGAAAAAGCAAAAUGUCCUACAUUAGAGAUCAUCAAGCAAGACUUUUAUCAAGAAGCAAAAACUCUCAUUGCCCAACAUUAUGAGAAAAUAAAUGAUAAUAAAGUUCAAGGUACUUCUAUAAAUGUUUUUAGAAAGAAACACCGAAAACCGAAAUCUGGCAAAUAUAUACCUUUGGAGAUUGACAAAAAGGAAACACGUGAUGUGGUGCAAGAACAUCGGGCAGCACUCAGAAGGAUUUGCUUUCCCAAGGAGCUUUCCAAAAGUGAACAUCUUCAGGAACCCCCACAACGAAUCUCCUUCAAGGAACCACACAUUUUUAGUAGAAGAGAAAGAUGCAGGCCCAUAGAUCUAAUUACAAAAGGACAAGUUAAAUUGGAUAAAAUCAUGACUAUUAUUGAACCAGUGAGUAAAAAAAUGGAGACAGCAAAGCAACAGCACUUUGAGGAGUCCAGAAACAGAAUGUUGGAAUUAUUCUAUCCCUUUCCUGUCCAUCUUUACUUACAACCUGGGACCUCUACCUUGGCACUUCUGAAAGAACCUGACAAAGCAUUCUAUGACUGGAGAGGAUUUGUGCCGACAAGGUCUUUCCGUUUAGCUUGUGACUCUGGUCGAGUUAGUUUCUCUCAAUCAUCAUCAAUAUUUCAGGAUUCUAAAACCUUUAAAACCUUUAUUAAAAAGGAGCGACAACCUAUCAAGCCAGAACCAAAAUCACGACCCAGGAUAAAAGGUACUCCAAAUGAAACUGAUAAACUUGACAGUAAAGUUAAAAGAAUUGGACCACACAUAGAAAUCUUCCAAGUGUUCCGAGAAAGAAAAAAAUUCGUGAUUACCCCAAAAUUGAUUAGAAUGGUCACCAUCAUGCAGGCACAUGUCAGGGGAUGGCUUGAACGGAAAAGAUUGCAAAGAGUAAUGACCAAGGCUUUGGAUCAUGGACCAGAUAUGAAAGCAGUUAUUAACAUGUAUGGCAGACUAAUCCACCGUGUUAGAUAUCGACAUGGUCUUUGGAGGACAAGACAAAUUGUCAACUUAGCAGAGCUAGAGGAAUGGAUGGACCGAAAAAAAUUCUAUGAAAUAAUGUUUGCUAAGAGGGAAGAUUGGCCAAAAAUUGAAAGAAGUGAGCUCCCCAGUUUCUUCAGUGACUGUGGUCAUUUCCCAUCUCAGAAACAAAUUGAUGAUACUUGGGACCUGGUCCAUCAAGAUGGCAAAGAAAAAUAUUCUGAACUAAUCAAAAAGUCCAAAGCAAUUGAAAUGUUAUUUACACUCUAUCCUCCUGAAGGUGCACACGUGCCUGACAGUACACUACUCAAGUCAACUUGGUUGAGACCCAUAGUAAAUGGGGAAGAAGGUUAUAGAUAUAUAGUCAUCCUGAUGGGCUCCCAAAGUGAAGUUUGUAGCCUUUAUUUGACAGCAGACUAUCUCAGUUGUCCUCAGGAUCAGGAGUCUCACAAGGAGAGUCACGCAGAAAAUAGAGGAAAGGAUGCAAACACACGGAGGAGAUGGAAAAGUACACAGGGAGCAGAGAUUUGAGUAAUACAGCCACGUGGAAUGCCGGAAGCCACCAGAAGUUGCAAGAGUCUAAAAAAAAGCAGAAGCUGGAAGAGCCAAGGUAGGCUAGGGCAGAACUCUUGGAGCAGAGAUGAUAACAAUAAACUCAGAACAAUGCUUGUCCUUUAUUAAUGAUCCCAGAGAGACAAGGACAGUACCUUUUACAAAGCCAGUUGGAAGGGGCAUGGACACUCAACCAGCAGGUGAGGAGCAAGA
This is an RNA transcript of Symphalangus syndactylus (siamang), 2097 nucleotides long. It is a transcript of the gene named IQ motif containing M, with no coding region annotated. The record is from RefSeq and is a predicted model, not a curated record. Lineage: Eukaryota; Metazoa; Chordata; Mammalia; Primates; Hylobatidae.